Molecule: ribosomal RNA, 460 nt
Filed under: uncultured bacterium
Lineage: Bacteria
Description: partial 16S ribosomal RNA
Rfam family: Bacterial small subunit ribosomal RNA
Source: RNAcentral
CCUACGGGAGGCAGCAGUGAGGAAUAUUGGUCAAUGGACGAGAGUCUGAACCAGCCAAGUAGCGUGAAGGAUGACUGCCCUAUGGGUUGUAAACUUCUUUUAUAUGGGAAUAAAAUGUUCCACGUGUGGGAUUUUGUAUGUACCAUAUGAAUAAGGAUCGGCUAACUCCGUGCCAGCAGCCGCGGUAAUACGGAGGAUCCGAGCGUUAUCCGGAUUUAUUGGGUUGAAAGGGAGCGUAGGGGGAUUGUUAAGUCAGUUGUGAAAGUUUGCGGCUCAACCGUAAAAUUGCAGUUGAAACUGGCAGUCGUGAGUACAGUAGAGGUGGGCGGAAUUCGUGGUGUAGCGGUGAAAUGCUGAGAUAUCACGAAGAACUCCGAUUGCGAAGGCAGCUCACUGGACUGCAACUGACACUGAGGCUCGAAAGUGUGGGUAUCAAACAGGAUUAGAUACCCCGGUAGUC